RNAcentral lists this small RNA (925 nucleotides) under Pongo abelii (Sumatran orangutan). RNAcentral describes it as "processed transcript". The record is from RNAcentral. Lineage: Eukaryota; Metazoa; Chordata; Mammalia; Primates; Hominidae.
GGCGGCCGCGCUGAGUCCCUAGCCCGCCGGGAGCGCCAGGCCGGCCAGGCCUGCGCCGCCGCCGCCGCCGCCGCCGCCGCGCCGACCAUGUCGGCAGCCAAGGAGAACCCGUGCAGGAAAUUCCAGGCCAACAUCUUCAACAAGAGCAAGUGUCAGAACUGCUUCAAGCCCCGCGAGUCGCAUCUGCUCAACGACGAGGACCUGACGCAGGCAAAACCCAUUUAUGGUGGUUGGCUGCUCCUGGCUCCAGAUGGGACCGACUUUGACAACCCAGUGCACCGGUCUCGGAAAUGGCAGCGACGGUUCUUCAUCCUUUACGAGCACGGCCUCUUGCGCUACGCCCUGGAUGAGAUGAUGUCUUCCCAGUGACUCUCCUUGGGGCCUGGGGAAACCACAAGGGAGCUUGGAUUCAUUCACCCAUUGCUGCCUUGCUGUGUGCCUCAGAGGGGCUCAAAGGUGGAAAAUAAAUGGGAAAAAGCAUGCUUGUCUUCUAGAAUCUCGUCAGCUGGCUGGGAAGACCAAGGGGCCAGCCAUCGCAGGGAGCAUAAGCACUGAGACAGGCACACGUGCCUGCCCAGCUAUCAUAGCCAGGCUGGCAGCCUUGCAACUCCCUGGGGAAGAACAAUCUAGGAACAUUCUGGGGUGUGGAGCAGGGAGGGAGUGCCCCAUGCAAAAGGCAGGAUCAGCCGAAGCAGAGGGGCUGAAGAAGCAGUGAUUCCCUCACCUAAUGUCAGAAGUAAAAUCAGUUCAUGGUGAAAAUUUGGGGAAACAAAAUCAUGCAGCAGAAUUGCCUAUUAAACCCCACCCAGGGGUAAAAAUCGGUUCAUAUUGUGGUUAUAUAUCUAUUCUCUUAUGAUGUGUAUUUAUAUGCUUAUGUAAGACCUAAAAACAAUAAUUUUUAAAUAAACCAGUUAUUUUUGAUAAG